This 1150-nucleotide long non-coding RNA is filed under the name Salmo salar (Atlantic salmon). RNAcentral's name for it is "lncRNA (ENSSSAG00000115894.1)". The record is from RNAcentral. Lineage: Eukaryota; Metazoa; Chordata; Actinopteri; Salmoniformes; Salmonidae.
AGGAUUCAUUUCGCAACACCUACGGCUUCCACUAGAUGUCAACGAUCUUUAUAAAGUUGUUUGAAGCGUCUAUGAUAAACAGAGAGCAAAUUAGAAUCCAAGGAAGUUGACAUGUCAUCACUUCAUUUUUUUGCGCCUGCGCAUAAAUCUGAGAAACGUGAGUUUUGUCUUCAUUGUUUAUCUCGACAUAGGAUAGGUUGUGUGAAAAUAUUACUGAUGUUUAACGUUAAAAAUGGACCAAAAGAUUAAUGCUAAACAACAUUUGACAUGUUUGAACGAACAUAAAUAGAUUAUUUACUAGGUUUUUUUAGCUUUUCGGCGUGAUUUUACAGUCCCCCACCACGUUUUGUGGGAGCAUAAUGAACGCUAAGUACUUGGUGUUAUUUGGACAUAAAUGAUGAACUUUGUCAAAAGAAACCACAUUUGUUCCGGACCUGGGAUGCCUUCCGGACCUGGGAUGCCUGUCUUCUGAUGGAGAUAAUCAAAGGCGAAAUCCUAAAUUUGAUCAGACCGACUGAGGAGUCUGACGCUGAUCAUAACCAGCACCCACCAGCGCCAAAGACCCCCAAAUUCACCCCAAAAAUAUCUUCUAGACCCUCUUUGUCACUCUCUGCUGGGGAAUCAUCAAGACCCUGUUCCCGUGCUUCUUCGCUAGAAGAUUUUCUGGCAGUAGUCCAUGGAUUUCUGCAGGCUGAUUAUUCAGCACCUGAGGAAAUUGGCAGAGGAUGUCAGAGAGUUGCAAUACCAGACCACAGUAACAGGAACCUCUUAAUGUAACUGACCAAUGGGUCUCAUGGGGACAUGGUUCUGCCAGAGGACACUGUGCUUCCUCUGAAGGACAUGCCUUGCUGGAGGAGCUUGAACAUCGGCUUGCUGGGAAUGAGGAACUUCAGGAGAAAUUGGUGAGGUUUUUGGCUGCUAAAGGGGGCAAGACCGUCAAAGACUCUGUGAGGAGGAUGUUUGCCUGCCUUUUCUCCAACGACCUGUCCAGGCUUUGUAUCUAGACCGGCUUGGGACAUAAGAUCUCUUUCAGGCAGCUAUCUUUAAAAAGCAUUGUUCACAGAACGAUAAGAAAGAACCUCUCUACAAAAGAGGCAACAGAGGGGAACCUCCAAGAGGUGGUCUGUCACAUCCUGACCAGUAAUAGGGG